Long non-coding RNA from Bufo gargarizans (Asiatic toad), 446 nucleotides. RefSeq lists it as uncharacterized. The record is from RefSeq and is a predicted model, not a curated record. Lineage: Eukaryota; Metazoa; Chordata; Amphibia; Anura; Bufonidae. The transcript is spliced from 3 exons.
GCUCUGAAGCCGCUAGACUGUAUGGGCUGCAGUGCGAGACUCCCAGAACUGGGCACAUUCUAGACACGUCACUGCUGAACUGCCUAGAAUGUAUGGGCUGCGGGGAGCAACCCAACCAGCACAGCAGGCUCCUGGGGAAACUGGUCAUGUGACCCCUGACUCCUCCCACACAUGGUCACAUGGCCAUGACAUCAUGAAAGGUCCUUUAGCCCACCAGUCUCUGGUCUCCAGUGGAGGUUCCUACAAUAUAGGAUCUGCUCAGUGGAUAUCUUCUACAUAAGAUCCUUCUCCUGAUUGACCCGUCAAGGAAGAAUAGGAACGGAGACAAGAUGGUGGAGAGUAUAAUAAAUCUCACCCUAGAGAUCCUCUUCCGGCUUACUGGAGAGGACUACACAGUAGUGAAGAAGACCUCAAGUGAGCGCUGUCAGGACCCUGUGUCUGAAGGA